GAAGGUAAAUGAUGGAAAAACAGAUCUUAUCCUACACACUGAACUAAAUGUGGACUAAAAAACUCCGCUUAUUAUCUGAUGCCUUC
Molecule: non-coding RNA, 86 nt
Organism: Ricinus communis (castor bean)
Lineage: Eukaryota; Viridiplantae; Streptophyta; Magnoliopsida; Malpighiales; Euphorbiaceae
Source: Rfam